GACGAACGCUGGCGGCGUGCUUAACACAUGCAAGUCGAACGGGUCUGCCCUGUUUUUUGCGGGGUGGGUCUGUGGCGAACGGGUGAGUAACCCGUGAGUAACCUGCCCCUCACUUCUGGAUAACCGCUUGAAAGGGUGGCUAAUACGGGGUGUUCUUGCUGUGCCGCAUGGUGUGGCUGGGAAAGAUUCACUUUUGUGGUGUUUUGGUGGGGGAUGGGCUCGCGGCCUUUCUGCUUGUUGGUGGGGUGUUGGCCUGCCAAGGUUGUGACGGGUCGGCGGCGUGAGGGGGUGGGCGGUCACACUGGGAGUGAGAUACGGCACAGACUCAUGCGGGAGACAGCAGGGGGGGGUAUUGCACAGUGGGCGGAAGCCUGAUGCAGCGACGGCGCGUGAGGGAUGGAGGCCUGCGGGUUGUGAACCUCUUUCGCCGGUGAAGAAGGUCCGGCUCUUUGUGGUGGGGUUGACGGUAGCCGGGUUAUGAAGCGCCGGCUAACUACGUG
Molecule: ribosomal RNA, 500 nt
Filed under: uncultured bacterium
Lineage: Bacteria
Description: partial 16S ribosomal RNA
Rfam family: Bacterial small subunit ribosomal RNA
Source: RNAcentral